UACAGAGGGGGCAAGCGUUAUUCGGAAUUAUUGGGCGUAAAGGGCGCGUAGGCGGCCUGACAAGUGGAAGGUGAAAUCCCUCGGCUUAACCGAGGAACUGCCCUCCAAACUGUUUGGCUUGAGACCGGGAGAGGUGAGUGGAAUUCCCAGUGUAGCGGUGAAAUGCGUAGAUAUUGGGAAGAACACCGGUGGCGAAGGCGGCGACCUGGUCCGAUACUGACGCUGAGGCGCGAAAGCGUGGGGAGCAAACAGG
RNAcentral lists this ribosomal RNA (253 nucleotides) under uncultured bacterium. RNAcentral describes it as "partial 16S ribosomal RNA". It matches the Rfam family "Bacterial small subunit ribosomal RNA", at positions 524 to 776 of the family's 1533-position model. The record is from RNAcentral.